Molecule: ribosomal RNA, 520 nt
Filed under: uncultured Glomus
Lineage: Eukaryota; Fungi; Glomeromycota; Glomeromycetes; Glomerales; Glomeraceae
Description: SSU rRNA
Rfam family: Eukaryotic small subunit ribosomal RNA
Source: RNAcentral
AGCAGCCGCGGUAAUUCCAGCUCCAAUAGCGUAUAUUAAAGUUGUUGCAGUUAAAAAGCUCGUAGUUGAAUUUCGGGGUCAGUAGGUUGGUCAUGCCUUCGGUAUGUACUGGUCUCACUGAUUCCUCCCUCUUGAAGAACUGUAAUGUCAUUAAUUUGGUGUUGCGGGGAAACAGGACUGUUACUUUGAAAAAAAUUGGAGUGUUUAAAGCAGGCUCACGCUUGAAUACAUUAGCAUGGAAUAAUGAAAUAGGACGAUCGAUCCUAUUUUGUUGGUUUCUAGGAUUGACGUAAUGAUUAAUAGGGAUAGUUGGGGGCAUUAGUAUUCAAUUGUCAGAGGUGAAAUUCUUGGAUUUAUUGAAGACUAACUACUGCGAAAGCAUUUGCCAAGGAUGUUUCAUUAAUCAAGAACGAAAGUUAGGGGAUCGAAAACGAUACAGAUACCGUCGUAGUCUUAACCAUAAACUAUGCCGACUAGGGAUCGGAUGAUGUUAAUUUUUAAUGACUCAUUCGGCGCCUUA